This is a long non-coding RNA of Myotis brandtii (Brandt's bat), 547 nucleotides long. RefSeq lists it as uncharacterized. The transcript is spliced from 3 exons. The record is from RefSeq and is a predicted model, not a curated record. NCBI's taxonomy places the organism in Eukaryota, Metazoa, Chordata, Mammalia, Chiroptera, Vespertilionidae.
CCGUCAUUGAGGAGGAGAGCACACGAGAUGAGGUCAGAGGAGGAAGGCGAGAUCACGCAGGUCUCGGAGACCAGGCCAGGAGCUGGAUUGAUGACACUACAAUGAUGGCUAAUGUGCCAAUAUCCAUAGGAACCUGUAUCCAGGAUCACUGUACCUGUGAAUAAAGUGCAGCUGCUCCAAGUAGACACAGCCUUUUGAAAUAUCUACACACAGGUCUACAAGGUCAACCAAGGUUGGAAUCAUGCUGGAAAUUUUAAGAAAAUACUGAUUUCUGGGUCCCACCUCCAGAGAUUCUGACUGAACUGGCCUGAGGGGAAACCUGGAUGAAGAGAUUUUAAGAGCUCCAGUGUGCACGAGGUUGAGAACCAUGCCUUUGGUGCAUGUUAAUCAAUGUGAAGACAAGAUACAUGAGCUCUCAUAGCCAUGUCCAGUGCCACAGCCCAGCCUUCGUCAGCCAAAUGAUCCAAGCUGCCUCUGAAACAACUCUCUUUAGAAAUGUGUAAAAAAGAUAAAAACAGACAAAAUAAAGGAAUAAGAACCAGCUGUA